CAUCUAAGUAGGGCGAGGAAGAGAAAUCAACCGAGAUUCCGCUAGUAGUGGCGAGCGAACGCGGAAGAGGCCAAACCGGAGGUAGCAAUAUUUCCGGGGUUAGGACUGCAACAUGUAACUUUAAUCUUUAACUGAAUGCUUUGGGAAGAGCAGCGAAACAGGGUGACAGCCCCGUAAGUGAAAAGGAUUGAGUGCUAGCAGUAUCCAGAGUACCAGCGGACACGUGAAACCCGCUGGGAAGAUGGGGGGACCAUCCUCCAAGCCUAAAUACUACUCAGUGACCGAUAGUGGAGCAGUACCGUGAGGGAAAGGUGAAAAGUACCCCGGGAGGGGAGUGAAAGAGAACCUGAAACCUUGUGCCUACAAGCACCGAGAGCACGUUAAAGUGUGAUCGGGUACUUUUUGUAGAACGGUCCGGCGAGUUAAUAUUUGCAGCGAGGUUAAGUAACUGGAGUUACGGAGCCGCAGCGAGAGCGAGUCUGAAUAGGGCGUAUGAAGUUGCAGGUAUUAGACCCGAAACCGGGUGACCUAUCCAUGAGCAGGCUGAAGCGGUGGUAAGACACCGUGGAGGGCCGCACCCACGUCUGUUGAAAAAGCCGGGGAUGACUUGUGGAUAGCGGAGAAAUUCCAAUCGAACUCGGAGAUAGCUGGUUCUCCCCGAAAUAGCUUUAGGGCUAGCGUUAUUUUAGAUUACCGGAGGUAAAGCACUGAAUGGUCUAGGGGCCGCGAGGUUACCAAAGCCUAUCAAACUCUGAAUGCCGGAUAAUUGAUGAAUAGCAGUCAGACUGUGUGAGAUAAGUCUCAUAGUCAAAAGGGAAACAGCCCAGAUCUACAGCUAAGGUCCCAAAUGAACACUAAGUGGAAAAUGAUGUGAAACUGCGAAGACAACCAGGAUGUUGGCUUAGAAGCAGCCACUCAUUCAAAGAGUGCGUAAUAGCUCACUGGUCGAGUGGUUUUGCGCAGAAAAUGUAACGGGGCUAAGUGUUCAACCGAAGCUUAGGCAUUGUACUUUGUACAUUGGGUAGGGGAGCGUCGUAUGCGGGGCGAAGUCAGAGCGGAAGCACUGGUGGACUGCAUACGAGUGAGAAUGCCGGAAUAAGUAGCGAGAAUUAUGUGAGAAUCAUAAUGGCCGAAAAUCUAAGGUUUCUUGGGGAAGGUUCGUCCGCCCAAGGUUAGUCGGGAGCUAAGCUCAGGCCGAAAGGCGUAGGCGAUGCACAUACGGUAGAAAUUCCGUAACCACCGAACAUUUAAGCUAGAGGGACGCUUUCUUUAAGGUUAUCCCGGGCGAUGGUUGCCCCGGGCGUAAGGGACCGAAAUUUAGUAGGGAAGUAACUGGCGAGAGAGACGAGAAAAGCUCUAGUGUAUACUAAGGUGCCCGUACCGCAAACCGACACAGGUAGAUGGGAUGAGUAUUCUAAGGCCAACGGGAGAAGGGUUGUUAAGGAACUCGGCAAAUUGGCCCCGUAACUUCGGGAUAAGGGGCGCCUGCGAGAGCAGGCCGCAGUGAAAAGGCCCAAGCGACUGUUUAGCAAAAACACAGCUCUCUGCUAAAUCGAAAGAUGACGUAUAGGGGGUGACGCCUGCCCGGUGCUGGAAGGUUAAGGGGAGUGCUUAGCGCAAGCGAAGGUGCGAACUUAAGCCCCAGUAAACGGCGGCCGUAACUAUAACGGUCCUAAGGUAGCGAAAUUCCUUGUCAGGUAAGUUCUGACCCGC
Molecule: ribosomal RNA, 1713 nt
Filed under: human gut metagenome
Description: bacterial LSU rRNA
Rfam family: Bacterial large subunit ribosomal RNA
Source: RNAcentral